CAGUAGCCGCGGUAAUACGUAGGGUGCGAGCGUUAAUCGGAAUUACUGGGCGUAAAGCGUGCGCAGGCGGUUGUGUAAGACAGGUGUGAAAUCCCCGGGCUUAACCUGGGAACUGCGCUUGUGACUGCACAGCUAGAGUAUGGCAGAGGGGGGUGGAAUUCCACGUGUAGCAGUGAAAUGCGUAGAGAUGUGGAUGAACACCGAUGGCGAAGGCAGCCCCCUGGGCCAAUACUGACGCUCAUGCACGAAAGCGUGGGGAGCAAACAGGAUUAGAUACCCCGGUAGUCCCUGUCUCUUAUAC
Molecule: ribosomal RNA, 301 nt
Filed under: uncultured bacterium
Lineage: Bacteria
Description: partial 16S ribosomal RNA
Rfam family: Bacterial small subunit ribosomal RNA
Source: RNAcentral